UCCAUUGCGAAGAUGUAUGGCACAUGAU
This 28-nucleotide non-coding RNA is filed under the name Bombyx mori (domestic silkworm). Lineage: Eukaryota; Metazoa; Arthropoda; Insecta; Lepidoptera; Bombycidae. The record is from RNAcentral.